Molecule: small nucleolar RNA, 145 nt
Filed under: Castor canadensis (American beaver)
Lineage: Eukaryota; Metazoa; Chordata; Mammalia; Rodentia; Castoridae
Source: RNAcentral
AUGCCCCUAAAUCAAGGCCAACAGUUUGCUGAAGUGGUUCAUUUCAAGCAGAAGCCUAGAAGCCUAAAGAAAUGUCUUUCUAUGGUCUACUGGCCAUUUCAGAACUCUGAAAAUAUAAUGAUCAAUUCAUUAGAAAGAAGCAUCU